GAUGAAGAACGUAGCAAAAUGCGAUAAGUAAUGUGAAUUGCAGAAUUCAGUGAAUCAUCGAAUCUUUGAACGCACAUUGCGCCCGCUGGUAUUCCGGCGGGCAUGCCUGUUCGAGCGUCAUUUCAACCCUCAAGCCCCCGGGUUUGGUGUUGGGGAUCGGCUCUGCCCUUCUGGGCGGUGCCGCCCCCGAAAUACAUUGGCGGUCUCGCUGCAGCCUCCAUCGCGUAGUAGCUAACACCUCGCAACUGGAACGCGGCGCGGCCAUGCCGUAAAACCCCAACUUCUGAAUGUUGACCUCGGAUCAGGUAGGAAUACCCGCUGAACUUAAGCAUAUCAAUAAGCGGAGGA
RNAcentral lists this unclassified non-coding RNA (348 nucleotides) under soil metagenome. Its description in RNAcentral is "partial contains 5.8S ribosomal RNA, internal transcribed spacer 2, and large subunit ribosomal RNA". The stretch from base 1 to 120 matches the Rfam family "5.8S ribosomal RNA", at positions 35 to 154 of the family's 154-position model. The record is from RNAcentral.